Molecule: non-coding RNA, 107 nt
Organism: Gossypium raimondii (Peruvian cotton)
Lineage: Eukaryota; Viridiplantae; Streptophyta; Magnoliopsida; Malvales; Malvaceae
Source: Rfam
AAACCAUGCAUCGGACAUUUUCUCAGUAGCUCCUUGAAUCGCUCUCAUGCUUCAUAUAAUGUUUCAUCCUCUGAUUGUCUAAACGAUGUAAUACCGCUCCUCAACUU